GAUCGCUCAGGAUGAACGCUAGCGGCAGGCUUAACACAUGCAAGUCGAGGGGCAGCGCGGGGCGGCAACGUCCUGGCGGCGACCGGCGGAAGGGUGCGUAACGCGUGAGCGACAUGCCCGUUGCCCGGGGACAACCGGUGGAAACGCCGACUAAUCCCCGAUGGGACGGAGGCCCUCAUGAGUCUCUGUUGAAAGUUACGGCGGCGACGGAUUGGCUCGCGUCCGAUUAGCUUGUUGGCGGGGUAACGGCCCACCAAGG
Molecule: ribosomal RNA, 259 nt
Filed under: uncultured bacterium
Lineage: Bacteria
Description: partial 16S ribosomal RNA
Rfam family: Bacterial small subunit ribosomal RNA
Source: RNAcentral